CAAUUUUCUCAGCCUCCCACCACCCAUGCACUUGUAGACAUAGUUGAGUUCCAAGACAUUAGGUGCAUACGUGGUGAAAUUCUACUAUAAUACAUUUCAGUUGCUGCUGGAGCAACCCCACGUACUUGUCUUAAAGUUCAAUUUAACUAAUUUCUCCUAUGUGAGGUCAAUCUUUUCCUUUUAAAAACCUAACAAGGUGGGUAUGCCUUGGGGCAUGCUUAGUCUGCAUUAAAUAUGCACUAAAUCACGGCUUGGAAGAAACUGGGGUGGCAAGAGUCAAGUAAUUAACUCAAAAAUAAAAUCAGGACACUAUCCCUGAGGGUGAGAGGAUCUUCAAAACGUGUUAUCUGUGUUGAAUUUCAUGUGCAUGCAUUCUAGAAGGCACGUUGCAUUUAGGUAGAAAUAGCAACAAUUUAAAGCUAACUUUGAAACUUCUCAAAAGG
Molecule: long non-coding RNA, 443 nt
Filed under: Homo sapiens (human)
Lineage: Eukaryota; Metazoa; Chordata; Mammalia; Primates; Hominidae
Description: non-protein coding lnc-R3HCC1L-6:1
Source: RNAcentral